UCUCUGGAUUCCCGACUCCUGCAGUCCUGCUCGGCUGCUCCAGUGCUCCUUGAACUCUUAAUUCUCAUCCCUCAGUGCAGCUGUCCCCAUUUUGCUUCCCCUUCCAGAGUUCCAGCCUUCCAGGUUCGAUAGUGAGUCCUGCAGUCCGCCAGUCCGCCGAGCCACCUCCUCCGCCACCGAGCCACCUCCACAGCUCCACUGCGAGUCUGCGACUUCCGCAGUUUCAAGGCUUCAAUCCAGAUGCCAGGGACGUAUUUUUGUUGAAUGUUUGAUAAUUGAAUAAAUUGAUUGUCAUUGCUGAUGGAGUGAUGGGUAAUGGGUUGUUGAUGAAUGAUGAAUUGAUGAUGGGUUGAUACUUGAUAAUUGGGAAUGGAUCUCUGUAUCGGGUUGUUGCUGUUACAAUGAUUAAGGUUGAUAAUUGG
Molecule: long non-coding RNA, 422 nt
Filed under: Rosa chinensis
Lineage: Eukaryota; Viridiplantae; Streptophyta; Magnoliopsida; Rosales; Rosaceae
Description: sRNA RchiOBHm_Chr1g0384041
Source: RNAcentral